UUAAUUAAGAGUUUGAUCCUGGCUCAGGACGAACGCUGGCGGCACGCUUAACACAUGCAAGUCGAACGAGAGAAGAGAAGCUUGCUUUUCUGAUCUAGUGGCGGACGGGUGAGUAACACGUGAGCAAUCUGCCUUUCAGAGGGGGAUACCGAUUGGAAACGAUCGUUAAUACCGCAUAACAUAAUUGAACCGCAUGAUUUGAUUAUCAAAGAUUUAUCGCUGAAAGAUGAGCUCGCGUCUGAUUAGCUAGUUGGUAAGGUAACGGCUUACCAAGGCGACGAUCAGUAGCCGGACUGAGAGGUUGAUCGGCCACAUUGGGACUGAGACACGGCCCAGACUCCUACGGGAGGCAGCAGUGGGGAAUAUUGCACAAUGGAGGAAACUCUGAUGCAGCGAUGCCGCGUGAGGGAAGAAGGUUUUAGGAUUGUAAACCUCUGUCUUUGGGGACGAAAAAUGACGGUACCCAAGGAGGAAGCUCCGGCUAACUACGUGCCAGCAGCCGCGGUAAUACGUAGGGAGCGAGCGUUGNNNNNNNNNNAGGAGGAAGCUCCGGCUAACUACGUGCCAGCAGCCGCGGUAAUACGUAGGGAGCGAGCGUUGUCCGGAAUUACUGGGUGUAAAGGGAGCGUAGGCGGGAUCGCAAGUCAGAUGUGAAAACUAUGGGCUUAACCCAUAAACUGCAUUUGAAACUGUGGUUCUUGAGUGAAGUAGAGGUAAGCGGAAUUCCUAGUGUAGCGGUGAAAUGCGUAGAUAUUAGGAGGAACAUCAGUGGCGAAGGCGGCUUACUGGGCUUUAACUGACGCUGAGGCUCGAAAGCGUGGGGAGCAAACAGGAUUAGAUACCCUGGUAGUCCACGCCGUAAACGAUGAUUACUAGGUGUGGGGGGACUGACCCCUUCCGUGCCGCAGCAAACGCAAUAAGUAAUCCACCUGGGGAGUACGACCGCAAGGUUGAAACUCAAAGGAAUUGACGGGGGCCCGCACAAGCAGUGGAGUAUGUGGAUUAAUUCGAAGCAACGCGAAGAACCUUACCAGGUCUUGACAUCGUAUGCAUAGCUCAGAGAUGAGUGAAAUCUCUUCGGAGACAUAUAGACAGGUGGUGCAUGGUUGUCGUCAGCUCGUGUCGUGAGAUGUUGGGUUAAGUCCCGCAACGAGCGCAACCCUUACUGUUAGUUGCUACGCAAGAGCACUCUAGCAGGACUGCCGUUGACAAAACGGAGGAAGGUGGGGAUGACGUCAAAUCAUCAUGCCCCUUAUGACCUGGGCCUCACACGUACUACAAUGGCUGUCAACAGAGGGAUGCAAAGCCGCGAGGUGGAGCGAACCCCUAAAAGCAGUCUUAGUUCGGAUUGUAGGCUGCAACCCGCCUACAUGAAGUCGGAAUUGCUAGUAAUCGCAGAUCAGCAUGCUGCGGUGAAUACGUUCCCGGGCCUUGUACACACCGCCCGUCACGCCAUGGGAGUCGGUAACACCCGAAGCCUGUAGUCUAACCGCAAGGAGGACGCAGUCGAAGGUGGGAUUGAUGACUGGGGUGAAGUCGUAACAAGGUAGCCGUAUCGGAAGGUGCGGCUGGAUCACCUCCUUUCUAUGGAGA
Molecule: ribosomal RNA, 1593 nt
Filed under: Ruminococcus sp. AF16-50
Lineage: Bacteria; Bacillati; Bacillota; Clostridia; Eubacteriales; Oscillospiraceae
Description: bacterial SSU rRNA
Rfam family: Bacterial small subunit ribosomal RNA
Source: RNAcentral